UGUCAUUUCUUUCAAACAGGAUGGAACAGUGUUGUGGAACAACAAACCCACUAUCAUUCAGAUAGAGAGCUCACCAAUCCUACUGACUGCAGUACACCCGUCAACAUAUCGUGUCUGUUCCACUGAUUGCAAGUCAGUCAUACCAUAGUCAUAUUCACUUCUAGUUCUGAAAGACUGAAGCACCAGAUAUCAAAAAGGAGUGGAAGUUCAGGAGCUGCUGAGACUCUACAGCUAACACUUCCUGAGGCUCUGCUCUUCAAGAUAUUUCAGCUAUAACUUGUCAACUGGAUAAGGAAGAAGGCCUAUUGUAUACUUCAACUUUGAAGAAGGUUAAUUAUGACUUUUUAUCCUUUUCUGAUGUUCAUACCCUGAUAAAAUUUUGUAAUAUACUGUCUAUUAUUUUUUUUCCCCAAUAAAUUCUGUUACUGUCUCUAUUUUCAUUUGGCAUAAGAAAAGGAUCAUUUCAAGAGCCAUGACUGAAAUCAAGUCCCUCCUCUCUUCCAGGUGUCGUUGGUCAAUGGAGCAUUAGUAGACUGUCAUCCUAAUACAUUUCCCUGGAGUACCUAGAGAAUAGUAAAAUACAGCUGAACUGAAUGGCAUAGGCUGUUCUAAGAAUUAUGUAGUACUGACCUGUAGAGACAGCAUUACUUAGCAUUACCCAAGAAAUUUCAUGGACCACAAGAGAGGCUAUGAACCACAAAGGUCACAAAUUACUUUUCAACACCAUUUUAUCUUGGAAAAUAGACAUGAGGGAAGUUGCAGUUCCCUCAGUUUCCUACACUGUCUGCAAGUCAACUGUACUGCAGAAAGCGACUGAAGUAUGAGAGACUCUCAUUCCUACCCUUACUCCAGUUUAUUUUAUGAGGUAUAACAUAUUCACCUAUUCAGGCUUCCUCAGUUCCAGUGGCCAUCAUUUACAGACGACAAAACCAAGACAACAGGAAAUGGAAGUUGUUACCUGGACCAAAACUGUGUGAUUUAAUAUAGUGAGGUCAUGUUCCUCUUGUCAGUACAGCUGCAUAGGGACAUAGGCAACCUUUGUCUCAUCCAGUGGGUAUGAAAUACUGGGCCAAUAAUCUACACCGAUACAGACAUAUACUGCCAAUACUUUGUUUUCACUGGGAGUUAUUGAUUCCUCAGAGGAGUUUGUUAACACUUGAUAGAGUUCAGACUUUGCUUGAUAAUAAUAUAUUUUGAUUACAUCUCUUGCCAAAACUAGCUUUCAGUGCUUUUGGAUUUUAAAGGAAAACUUUUUAGGAAUAGAACAUACUUCCUGAAUUCUACUUUGCCUCCUUUUUUUUUUUUUUUCACAGCAAGUAGAAUCUCUGUGGUAGAUACAAUUCUUCCAUGGAGAGUUUCACUGAAAAUAUAAGAACAUUUCUAAGAAUAGUCUUGACAGCUAUGUCAUGAAUAGAAGUGCAUAGGACAUUGGCUUCUUCAGUCUCAGUUAAUAAUGCCAUAUCCCUUAGAAAUUUGCAACAGCCUGCUUUGAUUGUUACUAUAAGCCUUUAGGUGUCAGAUGACUCUCUCUUAGGAAGGCUGUACUUGCCAAUUUUUUACAGAGUAGACUCAAUUUCACUGUAUUGGAAAAGUCCACUCUCCCUCUCCUAGAGACAUUAUUAAUUGGCCAAGCUUUGACAUCACAGCACAUACACAGAGAAGGGAGAAGAAGUUGCUAAGAAGCAAACGCACCUUGUACAAAUAAUUCCAACUUUAUUCCCUCCCAGGAAAGAAGAAAGUUGCAUUUUGUACGCACAAAUUACACAGCUUUAGAGUAGCUUGGUAACAUAGUUAUAGUCAGUCCACCAUAACUUUUUUUGCCUUCCAUGAGUUAGAACCCAUAUAGACUAUAUGCCCUCUCUGCUCAAGUGUCUUCUGCCAGAAAGCAGUUGAACACGCAUGAUAGCGUACCAAGGCAAACAAAACGCUCAGUUUUCCCUGCCUGUGGCUUGGAAACAAUUUUUACCAUCAGAGGGAGAAGAAGGACAUCCACUGAGUUCUCUAAGACUCUCUGCCCCAGAGAGACUUAGAGAACCUACUAAGGGAAAAUAACAUAAUUAUGGUUUGAUUUGCUCACCUGGACAUGAUUUAAUCCUUGUGGAUGUUUUAUGGGAGUGGUUUUGUCUGUUUCUUUAGUCAGUCUCUAAGAAGUUGUGCUUACACUACACUGAUUGCAUAUGUCGGAUUAUUUUGCUUUUAAAGAUCACUGUUUUACUGGAAAUCCCUUUCCAGGAAUCAAGCAGUAUAAUUUUUACUCCUGUGAGAUAAGUUACAAUAGUGUGAAUACCAAGCACAUCCUUAUGAAUGUCAGAGCUCUGGAGGCACAGAUAUUGCAGCACGUGUCAGAACAAAAUUAUAUUAACUAUGUGUUCCAACAUUUAUUCCAAAUCUAACCAGUAUAUGUCUUUUACUUCUUUAGGUCUGUGAAACUGCUCCAGUCUUAAUAAAAAAUUCCUCUUCUCGCUUUAGGACAGUGUCAUUGUUUCAUCCUGGCCAGCAAAUACCACACAGCCUCUUGCUCACUUCCCUCCUCACUCUUCCUCAGUGUAGAGAAAAACUGGAAAAAAGGAAGUCUUGUGCAUUGAGAUAAGAACAGUUUAAUAACUGAAACAAAUGAAAUAUUAAAAUUACAAUAAUAGUAAUAAUAAUAAUUUUAAUUAAAAGGAGAGAACGGAAUAACACCUCAGAGAAAAAGGUGGUAUACAAUACAGUUGCUCACCACCUGCUGAUUAUUCCUAAGCAGUAAUCAGCACCUUCUGAGCAACUCCCCCAUUUUAUAUACUGGGCAUGACAUUUUAUGGUAUGGAAUAGUGCUUGGCCAGUUUGGGUCAGUUGUCCUGGCCAUGCUCCCUCCCAGCUUCCUGUGCACCUGCUUGUUAUCAGAGUCUGGAAAACUGAAAAGUCCUUGAUUUUAAAUAAGCACUACUCACAACAACUAAACUGUCAUUGGGUUGUCAACAUUAUUCUCAUAUUCAGUCCAAAAUACAGCCCUGUACUAGCUACUAAAAAGAAAAUCAACUCUAUCCCAGCCAAAGCCAGGACAAGCAGUCAAAUCACGUGUUCUAAAAUCGCAGAUCCUUGCAUGCAAAUCUUCCUCAGCUACUCUGACUUAAAAAUCUGGCAUGAGAAAUCUUUUCUGAUAUAAAUUUAUGAGACUUUAGUUCUAAUAUAUUUUUUCUCAUUCUAUUUACAUCCUCCUGUUUGUAGGAAGAGACAAGACUAAAAAUAAAGAGAAGUUAAAUUAAAUUUUUAAAUAUGCAUAAGAAUAUCUAAUGGGCUGAAGACAGCCUCGGGAAGUCAUCAGAGCCCAUAUUUAUCAAAUUAGUUAGUGACUUUGACAGCUCAGCUGCAAGAGGGAUGACCUUUUGCCUCAUUUUCACAGAUCUAAUUUGUCAUUUGGAGUUGAUAUGAAAGGAAGAUGAUUGGACCUAUGUUAAAUCUGUAUAUAGAUUGCUUAGAUUGUGUGUUCUUAAAUGGAGGCAAACUGUGCCCUAAUUUUUGUCUAUUAGUAAUGACGUUUUCGUUCUGCUAACCGUGGUCAAGAAUUUGGAAUUUGGAUCGUCUGUUCUCUUGUAUGAAAUAUGUUAUAUUGUCCAUCUUGUUAAUAAAAUAUAGCUGAUGAA
Molecule: long non-coding RNA, 3623 nt
Organism: Pseudopipra pipra
Lineage: Eukaryota; Metazoa; Chordata; Aves; Passeriformes; Pipridae
Exons: 2
Source: RefSeq, a predicted model, not a curated record